GCACUGUUGAAGUCCGAUUGGCACUGUUGAAGGUUGAUGGCUGGAGAGAUACGAAAGACACCGGAGACAGUCGGUCACUAUAGAAAUCUAACUGCUAGAGUAUGUCCGUUGUAGAAGUUCGUCUGGAAUCCAUCCACUGUAGAAGUUUGGAUGGAGUCCGGUUCUUACAGAAGUCCAGAAGGAGGCCGCUUACUGUAGAAGCUCGGAUGG
RNAcentral lists this long non-coding RNA (210 nucleotides) under Elaeis guineensis (African oil palm). Its description in RNAcentral is "long non-coding RNA (EGUI_LNC071562)". Lineage: Eukaryota; Viridiplantae; Streptophyta; Magnoliopsida; Arecales; Arecaceae. The record is from RNAcentral.